This 397-nucleotide ribosomal RNA is filed under the name uncultured bacterium. RNAcentral describes it as "bacterial SSU rRNA". It matches the Rfam family "Bacterial small subunit ribosomal RNA", at positions 28 to 416 of the family's 1533-position model. The record is from RNAcentral.
GACGAACGCUGGCGGCGUGCCUAACACAUGCAAGUCGUACGGGCUUGGGGGGCGAACCCUCAAGUCAGUGGCGGACGGGUGCGUAACACGUGAGCAACCUGUCUCUGGGUGGGGGAGUAGCCGGCCCAACGGCCGGGUAAUACCGCAUGAUCCGCCGGGGUCGGCAUGACUCUGGUGUGAAAGCGGCCGCAAGGUCGCGCCAAGAGAGGGACUCGCGGCGUAUCAGCUAGUUGGCGGGGUAACGGCCACCAAGGCGACGACGCGUAGCUGGUCUGAGAGGAUGGCCAGCCACAUUGGGACUGAGAUACGGCCCAGACUCCUACGGGAGGCAGCAGUGGGGAAUAUUGCGCAAUGGCCGCAAGGCUGACGCAGCGACGCCGCGUGUGGGAUGAAGGCC